UCUCUUACCCAUGUCUUUUAAGUACCUUACGUUUCCUCGGCGGGUCCGCCCGCCGAUUGGACAAUUUAAACCAUUUGCAGUUGCAAUCAGCGUCUGAAAAAACUUAAUAGUUACAACUUUCAACAACGGAUCUCUUGGUUCUGGCAUCGAUGAAGAACGCAGCGAAAUGCGAUAAGUAGUGUGAAUUGCAGAAUUCAGUGAAUCAUCGAAUCUUUGAACGCACAUUGCGCCCCUUGGUAUUCCAUGGGGCAUGCCUGUUCGAGCGUCAUUUGUACCUUCAAGCUCUGCUUGGUGUUGGGUGUUUGUCUCGCCUCUGCGUGUAGACUCGCCUCAAAACAAUUGGCAGCCGGCGUAUUGAUUUCGGAGCGCAGUACAUCUCGCGCUUUGCACUCAUAACGACGACGUCCAAAAGUACAUUUUUACACUCUUGACCUCGGAUCAGGUAGGGACACCCGCUGAACUUAAG
This 466-nucleotide ribosomal RNA is filed under the name Nothophoma quercina. RNAcentral's name for it is "eukaryotic LSU rRNA". The stretch from base 115 to 268 matches the Rfam family "5.8S ribosomal RNA". The record is from RNAcentral. Lineage: Eukaryota; Fungi; Ascomycota; Dothideomycetes; Pleosporales; Didymellaceae.